This 492-nucleotide ribosomal RNA is filed under the name uncultured bacterium. RNAcentral's name for it is "bacterial SSU rRNA". It matches the Rfam family "Bacterial small subunit ribosomal RNA", at positions 15 to 507 of the family's 1533-position model. The record is from RNAcentral.
GAUCAUGGCUCAGGACGAACGCUGGCGGCAUGCCUAACACAUGCAAGUCGAACGGAACUUGUUGAAUGAAGUUUUCGGAUGGAUUUUGAUAAGUUUAGUGGCGGACGGGUGAGUAACGCGUGAGCAACCUGCCUUUCAGAGGGGGACAACAGUUGGAAACGACUGCUAAUACCGCAUAACGUAUCGAAGAGGCAUCUCUUUGAUACCAAAGAUUAUAUCGCUGAAAGAUGGGCUCGCGUACGAUUAGAUAGUUGGUGAGGUAACGGCUCACCAAGUCGACGAUCGUUAGCCGGACUGAGAGGUUGAACGGCCACAUUGGGACUGAGACACGGCCCAGACUCCUACGGGAGGCAGCAGUGAGGAAUAUUGGGCAAUGGGCGCAAGCCUGACCCAGCAAUGCCGCGUGAAGGAAGACGGUUUUCGGAUUGUAAACUUCUUUUAAGAGGGACGAUAAUGACGGUACCUCUUGAAUAAGCCACGGCUAACUACGUG